Molecule: ribosomal RNA, 514 nt
Filed under: bacterium symbiont of Megymenum gracilicorne
Lineage: Bacteria
Description: bacterial SSU rRNA
Rfam family: Bacterial small subunit ribosomal RNA
Source: RNAcentral
GGAGAGGGCUAGCGUUAUUCGGAAUUAUUGGGCGUAAAGGGCGCGUAGGCGGAUUAGUAAGUUAAAAGUGAAAUCCCAAGGCUCAACCUUGGAAUUGCUUUUAAAACUGCUAUCUAGAGAUUGAAAGAGGAUAGAGGAAUUCCAGGUGUAGCGGUGAAAUUCGUAAAUAUUAGGAGGAACACCAGUGGCGAAGGCGUCUAUCUGGUUCAAAUCUGACGCUGAGGCGCGAAGGCGUGGGGAGCAAACAGGAUUAGAUACCCUGGUAGUCCACGCUGUAAACGAUGAAUGUUAAAUAUGGGGAGUUUACUUUCUGUAUUACAGCUAACGCGUUAAACAUUCCGCCUGGGGACUACGGUCGCAAGAUUAAAACUCAAAGGAAUUGACGGGGACCCGCACAAGCGGUGGAGCAUGUGGUUUAAUUCGAUGCAACGCGAAAAACCUUACCACUCCUUGACAUGGAAAUUAUACCUAUUCGAAGGGAUAGGGUCGGUUCGGCCGGGUUUCACACAGGUGU